This 440-nucleotide ribosomal RNA is filed under the name Corynebacterium matruchotii. RNAcentral's name for it is "bacterial SSU rRNA". It matches the Rfam family "Bacterial small subunit ribosomal RNA", at positions 28 to 461 of the family's 1533-position model. Lineage: Bacteria; Bacillati; Actinomycetota; Actinomycetes; Mycobacteriales; Corynebacteriaceae. The record is from RNAcentral.
GACGAACGCUGGCGGCGUGCUUAACACAUGCAAGUCGAACGGAAAGGCCUCCACCUUUUGGUGGGGGUGCUCGAGUGGCGAACGGGUGAGUAACACGUGGGUGAUCUGCCCUGUACUUCGGGAUAAGCUUGGGAAACUGGGUCUAAUACCGGAUAGGACCAUGGUUUAGUGUCUCAUGGUGGAAAGAUGUUUUUUGGUGCAGGAUGAGCUCGCGGCCUAUCAGCUUGUUGGUGGGGUAAUGGCCUACCAAGGCGUCGACGGGUAGCCGGCCUGAGAGGGUGGACGGCCACAUUGGGACUGAGAUACGGCCCAGACUCCUACGGGAGGCAGCAGUGGGGAAUAUUGCACAAUGGGCGCAAGCCUGAUGCAGCGACGCCGCGUGGGGGAUGACGGCCUUCGGGUUGUAAACUCCUUUCGUUAGGGACGAAGCCAUACUUUUU